AGUGAACGCUGGCGGUAGGCCUAACACAUGCAAGUCGAACGGCAGCACAGUAAGGGCUUGCUCUUACGGGUGGCGAGUGGCGGACGGGUGAGGAAUACAUCGGAAUCUACUUUUUCGUGGGGGAUAACGUAGGGAAACUUACGCUAAUACCGCAUACGACCUACGGGUGAAAGCAGGGGAUCUUCGGACCUUGCGCGAUUGAAUGAGCCGAUGUCGGAUUAGCUAGUUGGCGGGGUAAAGGCCCACCAAGGCGACGAUCCGUAGCUGGUCUGAGAGGAUGAUCAGCCACACUGGAACUUAGACACGGUCCAGACUCCUACGGGAGGCAGCAGUGGGGAAUAUUGGACAAUGGGCGCAAGCCUGAUCCAGCCAUACCGCGUGGGUGAAGAAGGCCUUCGGGUUGUAAAGCCCUUUUGUUGGGAAAGAAAAGCAGCAGGUUAAUACCCCGCUGUUCUGACGGUACCCAAAGAAUAAGCACCGGCUAACUUCGUG
This 492-nucleotide ribosomal RNA is filed under the name uncultured bacterium. RNAcentral describes it as "partial 16S ribosomal RNA". It matches the Rfam family "Bacterial small subunit ribosomal RNA", at positions 29 to 507 of the family's 1533-position model. The record is from RNAcentral.